This 454-nucleotide ribosomal RNA is filed under the name uncultured bacterium. Its description in RNAcentral is "bacterial SSU rRNA". It matches the Rfam family "Bacterial small subunit ribosomal RNA", at positions 340 to 786 of the family's 1533-position model. The record is from RNAcentral.
UACGGAAGGCAGCAGUGGGGAAUAUUGCACAAUGGGCGCAAGCCUGAUGCAGCCAUGCCGCGUGUAUGAAGAAGGCCUUCGGGUUGUAAAGUACUUUCAGUCGUGAGGAAGGUGUUAAGGUUAAUAACCUUAGCAAUUGACGUUAGCGACAAAAGAAGCACCGGCUAACUCCGUGCCAGCAGCCGCGGUAAUACGGAGGGUGCGAGCGUUAAUCGGAAUUACUGGGCGUAAAGGGCACGCAGGCGGUUAAUUAAGUUGGAUGUGAAAUCCCCGGGCUUAACCUGGGAAUGGCAUUCAAGACUGGUUAGCUAGAGUCUUGUAGAGGGGGUAGAAUUCCAUGUGUAGCGGUGAAAUGCGUAGAGAUGUGGAGGAAUACCGGUGGCGAAGGCGGCCCCUGGACAAAGACUGACGCUCAUGUGCGAAAGCGUGGGGAGCAAACGAGGGAUUAGAUACC